AACGAACGCUGGCGGCAGGCCUAAUACAUGCAAGUCGAGCGGAUGAAAGGGGCUUGCUCCUGGAUUCAGCGGCGGACGGGUGAGUAAUACGCAGGAAUCUACCUAGUAGUGGGGGAUAACGUUUCGAAAGGGACGCUAAUACCGCAUACGUUCUGAGGAAGAAAGCAGGGGAUCGUAAGACCUUGCGCUAUUAGAUGAGCUUGCGUCCGAUUAGCUAGUUGGUGGGGUAAAGCCUACCAAGGCGACGAUCGGUAACUGGUCUGAGAGGAUGAUCAGUCACACUGGAACUGAGACACGGUCCAGACUCCUACGGGAGGCAGCAGUGGGGAAUAUUGGACAAUGGGGGCAACCCUGAUCCAGCCAUGCCGCGUGUGUGAAGAAGGCCUGGUUGUAAGGACACUUAAGUACGGGAGGAAGGGACC
RNAcentral lists this ribosomal RNA (422 nucleotides) under uncultured bacterium. RNAcentral's name for it is "bacterial SSU rRNA". It matches the Rfam family "Bacterial small subunit ribosomal RNA", at positions 29 to 455 of the family's 1533-position model. The record is from RNAcentral.